This 377-nucleotide unclassified non-coding RNA is filed under the name uncultured Actinomycetes bacterium. RNAcentral's name for it is "uncultured actinobacterium contains 16S-23S intergenic spacer region". The record is from RNAcentral. Lineage: Bacteria; Bacillati; Actinomycetota; Actinomycetes.
UCCGGUUUGGCACCGGCAGUCUCCCUAGAGUUCUCGGCUUUACCCGUUAGUAACUAAGGACAGGGGUUGCGCUCGUUGCGGCACUUAAGCCAACACCUCACGGCACGAGCUGACGACAGCCAUGCAGCACCUGUGCUGGCUCCUUACGGAGCCCUGCUUUCACAGGGUUUAACCAGCAUGUCAAGCCUAGGUAAGGUUCUUCGCGUUGCAUCGAAUUAAGCCACAUGCUCCGCCGCUUGUGCGGGUCCCCGUCAAUUCCUUUGAGUUUUAGCCUUGCGGCCGUACUCCCCAGGCGGAGUGCUUAAUGCGUUAGCUUCGGCACGGAAAGGGUUGAAGGCCUCCCCACACCUAGCACCCAACGUUUACGGCUGGGACUA